CCGGCACGGGUGAGUAACGCGUAUGCAACUUGCCUAUCAGAGGGGAUAACCCGGCGAAAGUCGGACUAAUACCGCAUGAAGCAGGGGCCCCGCAUGGGGAUAUUUGCUAAAGAUUCAUCGCUGAUAGAUAGGCAUGCGUUCCAUUAGGCAGUUGGCGGAGUAACGGCCCACCAAACCGACGAUGGAUAGGGGUUCUGAGAGGAAGGUCCCCCACAUUGGAACUGAGACACGGUCCAA
RNAcentral lists this ribosomal RNA (237 nucleotides) under uncultured bacterium. Its description in RNAcentral is "partial 16S ribosomal RNA". It matches the Rfam family "Bacterial small subunit ribosomal RNA", at positions 100 to 334 of the family's 1533-position model. The record is from RNAcentral.